RNAcentral lists this ribosomal RNA (429 nucleotides) under Chloroflexota bacterium. RNAcentral's name for it is "Chloroflexi bacterium partial 16S ribosomal RNA". It matches the Rfam family "Bacterial small subunit ribosomal RNA", at positions 355 to 776 of the family's 1533-position model. Lineage: Bacteria; Bacillati; Chloroflexota. The record is from RNAcentral.
UGGGGAAUAUUGCACAAUGGGCGCAAGCCUGAUGCAGCCAUGCCGCGUGUGUGAAGAAGGCCUUCGGGUUGUAAAGCACUUUCAGCGGGGAGGAAGGCGUUAAGGUUAAUAACCUUGGCGAUUGACGUUACCCGCAGAAGAAGCACCGGCUAACUCCGUGCCAGCAGCCGCGGUAAUACGGAGGGUGCAAGCGUUAAUCGGAAUUACUGGGCGUAAAGCGCACGCAGGCGGUCUGUCAAGUCGGAUGUGAAAUCCCCGGGCUCAACCUGGGAACUGCAUUCGAAACUGGCAGGCUAGAGUCUUGUAGAGGGGGGUAGAAUUCCAGGUGUAGCGGUGAAAUGCGUAGAGAUCUGGAGGAAUACCGGUGGCGAAGGCGGACCCCUGGACAAAGACUGACGCUCAGGUGCGAAAGCGUGGGGAGCAAACAGG